Molecule: small nuclear RNA, 102 nt
Organism: Suncus etruscus (white-toothed pygmy shrew)
Lineage: Eukaryota; Metazoa; Chordata; Mammalia; Eulipotyphla; Soricidae
Source: RefSeq, a predicted model, not a curated record
GUACUCACCUCGGCAACAUAUAUACUAAAAUUGAAACAAUACAGAGAAGAUUAGCAUGGCCCCUGUGCAAGGAUGACAUUCAAAAAGAUGUCAACUUAGCCU